CGAGCGGUAACAGAAAGUAGCUUGCUACUUUGCUGACGAGCGGCGGACGGGUGAGUAAUGCUUGGGAACAUGCCUUGAGGUGGGGGACAACAGUUGGAAACGACUGCUAAUACCGCAUAAUGUCUACGGACCAAAGGGGGCUUCGGCUCUCGCCUUUAGAUUGGCCCAAGUGGGAUUAGCUAGUUGGUGAGGUAAUGGCUCACCAAGGCAACGAUCCCUAGCUGGUUUGAGAGGAUGAUCAGCCACACUGGAACUGAGACACGGUCCAGACUCCUACGGGAGGCAGCAGUGGGGAAUAUUGCACAAUGGGCGAAAGCCUGAUGCAGCCAUGCCGCGUGUGUGAAGAAGGCCUUCGGGUUGUAAAGCACUUUCAGUCAGGAGGAAAGGGUGUGAGUUAAUACCUCAUAUCUGUGACGUUACUGACAGAAGAAGCACCGGCUAACUCCGUGCCAGCAGCCGCGGUAAUACGGAGGGUGCGAGCGUUAAUCGGAAUUACUGGGCGUAAAGCGUACGCAGGCGGUUUGUUAAGCGAGAUGUGAAAGCCCCGGGCUCAACCUGGGAACUGCAUUUCGAACUGGCAAACUAGAGUGUGAUAGAGGGUGGUAGAAUUUCAGGUGUAGCGGUGAAAUGCGUAGAGAUCUGAAGGAAUACCGAUGGCGAAGGCAGCCACCUGGGUCAACACUGACGCUCAUGUACGAAAGCGUGGGGAGCAAACGGGAUUAGAUACCCCGGUAGUCCACGCCGUAAACGAUGUCUACUAGAAGCUCGGAACCUCGGUUCUGUUUUUCAAAGCUAACGCAUUAAGUAGACCGCCUGGGGAGUACGGCCGCAAGGUUAAAACUCAAAUGAAUUGACGGGGGCCCGCACAAGCGGUGGAGCAUGUGGUUUAAUUCGAUGCAACGCGAAGAACCUUACCUACACUUGACAUACAGAGAACUUUCUAGAGAUAGAUUGGUGCCCUUCGGGAACUCUGAU
Molecule: ribosomal RNA, 975 nt
Filed under: Pseudoalteromonas sp. 1-Cc-6
Lineage: Bacteria; Pseudomonadati; Pseudomonadota; Gammaproteobacteria; Alteromonadales; Pseudoalteromonadaceae
Description: bacterial SSU rRNA
Rfam family: Bacterial small subunit ribosomal RNA
Source: RNAcentral